RNAcentral lists this ribosomal RNA (510 nucleotides) under uncultured Sphingomonadales bacterium. Its description in RNAcentral is "bacterial SSU rRNA". It matches the Rfam family "Bacterial small subunit ribosomal RNA", at positions 84 to 629 of the family's 1533-position model. Lineage: Bacteria; Pseudomonadati; Pseudomonadota; Alphaproteobacteria; Sphingomonadales. The record is from RNAcentral.
CUUCGGGUCUAGUGGCGCACGGGUGCGUAACGCGUGGGAAUCUGCCCUUAGGUACGGAAUAACUCAGAGAAAUUUGUGCUAAUACCGUAUGAUGUCGAAAGACCAAAGAUUUAUCGCCUAAGGAUGAGCCCGCGUAAGAUUAGCUUGUUGGUGAGGUAAAAGCUCACCAAGGCGACGAUCUUUAGCUGGUCUGAGAGGAUGAUCAGCCACACUGGGACUGAGACACGGCCCAGACUCCUACGGGAGGCAGCAGUGGGGAAUAUUGGACAAUGGGCGAAAGCCUGAUCCAGCAAUGCCGCGUGAGUGAUGAAGGCCUUAGGGUUGUAAAGCUCUUUUACCAGGGAUGAUAAUGACAGUACCUGGAGAAUAAGCUCCGGCUAACUCCGUGCCAGCAGCCGCGGUAAUACGGAGGGAGCUAGCGUUGUUCGGAAUUACUGGGCGUAAAGCGUACGUAGGCGGUUAUUCAAGUCAGAGGUGAAAGCCUGGAGCUCAACUCCAGAACUGCCUUUG